GAUGAACGCUAGCGGCAGGCUUAAUACAUGCAAGUCGUGGGGCAGCAUGAGUAGCAAUACUUGAUGGCGACCGGCAAACGGGUGAGGAACACGUACACAACCUUCCUUCAAGCGGGGAAUAGCCCAGAGAAAUUUGUAUUAAUACCCCAUAAUAUAUUUGAUAAGGCAUCUUAUUAAUAUUAAAGCUUCGGCACUUGAUGAUGGGUGUGCGGCUGAUUAGAUAGUUGGCGGGUAACGGCCCACCAAGUCUACGAUCAGUAGCUGAUGUGAGAGCAUGAUCAGCCACACGGGCACUGAGACACGGGCCCGACUCCUACGGGAGGCAGCAGUAAGGAAUAUUGGACAAUGGACGAAAGUACUGAUCCAGCCAUGCCGCGUGAAGGAUUAAGGUCCUCUGGAUUGUAAACUUCUUUAUAUGGACGAAAAAGGGCGAAUUCUUGUUUCACUUGACGGUACCAUAUGAAUAAG
This 468-nucleotide ribosomal RNA is filed under the name uncultured bacterium. RNAcentral's name for it is "bacterial SSU rRNA". It matches the Rfam family "Bacterial small subunit ribosomal RNA", at positions 28 to 490 of the family's 1533-position model. The record is from RNAcentral.